UUGUCAACAAGAGACACCCGGGGUGCCUUCUGGUCCCCAGCAGGCCUGCCUUAGGCCACUCCUUGGCCCCUUAGUGGAGCCAGACUUGGCAGGAGGCCGUUUCUCUCUCUGCAGAACCUCUCCUUAGCUCUCAGGUGGCCUCCUGAGGUUUGCCCGUCUGCUGGCUGUCCAGUACCAGUGUGGACAGGGCCUCCCAGCAAGCCCUGAGUGUGGCUUUGUCUGUGGCCUUGUCUCUGUCAGGCUUGUGUGGCUCAGGAUGCCACCUGCAGUCUACGUCCUUCCUCAUGUUGGUGCACUUUUCUGCUUGAGCUGCAGUGUGCUGUGACCCGCUGUGGUAACAGCUCGUGGAGAGUAAGGCAGGGAUUCUUGUUAUAUCUGGAUCUUUAAUAAUCAUGAAAUGAGUUAUAGACAAAUAAAAACAUUGCAAACAGCAGCUAAAGUGUCCUGGAGCUGGAGGGUGCCCAUCAGCAAGUCUGUUUCCUCUGAUUUUCAGCUUUCUACCCUCGACUGGAAAUGGGAAAAUGUGAUCCUUUCUUUUCACAACCGUCGGGUAACCGGGUACUUUCAUCACACUGGCCCAUUUAGAACCUUAGACUUUUAUGCAUUUCAUUGAUUUGUUUCAUUAUUAAGUAGGUGGUUGUUUCCAAAUUCCUGGAUUAUUUGAUCCUUUGGUUUAUGUGUGUGCUUUUGGGGUGGCGUGCAGGUCAGCUUUGGACUCUGGUUCAUCUCAAGCAGGUGCUAUAUCUCAUCCAUAAACAUCAGGGAGAAACUGGGAGUCACUCUCCUUUAGGCUGCCACCAGGGAGACUUGUAUGUAUUUUAAGGAAGGUGUGAGUUACUCAUCCUGAAUUUCUAACUUCUUCACAACAUUCAGCAACGAAAAUGGAUCAACAUAUUAUCUGCCAAUAAGUAAAGAAAGGAAAUAAACUGAAAAACAAUAAACAUGUCUAUAUUCUCAUUUUCGAAGUCAUUUUUAUUUCUGAUGCUGAGUUAUUAAUUAAACUAAAUUUGUAAAUGAAAAAAGAAUCUCUUUUUAUUAUUUCAAAGAAUAACCAGGUGUCUUGGUUAAUGCAAACAAACUUCCUCGCUUAAAAUUUCCUUCAUAUUUAAAAACUCAUUUGAUGUACGAUUUACCUCCCUUAAGGAAUUAGAAGCUGGGUGCAGUGGCACAAACCUACAAUCCCAGCCUAUGCAGGAGGAUCACAAGUUCAAGACCAGCCUCAGCAACUUAGGCACUGUUUCCAAAGGGCUGGGAAUGUGGCUCAGUGG
This 1268-nucleotide long non-coding RNA is filed under the name Marmota monax (woodchuck). Lineage: Eukaryota; Metazoa; Chordata; Mammalia; Rodentia; Sciuridae. The record is from RNAcentral.